GCCCGCCUAGCUCAAUCGGAUAGAGCGUCAGACUCUUACUGAGGCAGGGGUGUUUGUAUCUGAAGGCUGCGAGUUCGACCCUCGCGGUGGGCU
This is a non-coding RNA of Termitomyces sp. T159_Od127, 93 nucleotides long. The record is from the annotation of a GenBank genome assembly. NCBI's taxonomy places the organism in Eukaryota, Fungi, Basidiomycota, Agaricomycetes, Agaricales, Lyophyllaceae.